RNAcentral lists this ribosomal RNA (253 nucleotides) under uncultured bacterium. RNAcentral's name for it is "partial 16S ribosomal RNA". It matches the Rfam family "Bacterial small subunit ribosomal RNA", at positions 524 to 776 of the family's 1533-position model. The record is from RNAcentral.
UACGUAGGGGGCAAGCGUUGUCCGGAUUUAUUGGGCGUAAAGAGCGUGUAGGCGGCCAUGUAGGUCCGUUGUGAAAACUCGAGGCUCAACCUCGAGCUGUCGGCGGAAACCAUCUGGCUAGAGUCCGGAAGAGGAGAAUGGAAUUCCCGGUGUAGCGGUGAAAUGCGCAGAUAUCGGGAAGAACACCCGUGGCGAAGGCGGUUCUCUGGGACGGUACUGACGCUGAGACGCGAAAGCGUGGGGAGCGAACAGG